AGAAUCAACGCUGGCGGCGUGCCUAACACAUGCAAGUCGCACGAGAAAGGGGCUUCGGCUCUGAGUAAAGUGGCGCACGGGUGAGUAACACGUGAAUAAUCUACCUCCGAGUGGGGAAUAACUGAGAGAAAUCUUAGCUAAUACCGCAUAACACUUACGAGUCAAAGCAGCAAUGCGCUUGGAGAGGAGUUCGCGGCCGAUUAGUUAGUUGGCGGGGUAAUGGCCCACCAAGACGAUGAUCGGUAUCCGGCCUGAGAGGGCGCACGGACACACUGGAACUGAAACACGGUCCAGACUCCUACGGGAGGCAGCAGUGGGGAAUUUUGCGCAAUGGGGGAAACCCUGACGCAGCAACGCCGCGUGGAGGAUGAAAUAUCUUGGUAUGUAAACUCCUUUCGAUGGGGAAGAUUAUGACGGUACCCAUAGAAGAAGCCCCGGCUAACUUCGUGCCAGCAGCCGC
RNAcentral lists this ribosomal RNA (460 nucleotides) under uncultured bacterium. RNAcentral describes it as "SSU rRNA". It matches the Rfam family "Bacterial small subunit ribosomal RNA", at positions 26 to 518 of the family's 1533-position model. The record is from RNAcentral.